RNAcentral lists this ribosomal RNA (858 nucleotides) under uncultured bacterium. RNAcentral's name for it is "bacterial SSU rRNA". It matches the Rfam family "Bacterial small subunit ribosomal RNA", at positions 77 to 924 of the family's 1533-position model. The record is from RNAcentral.
UCUUCGGGGAUGAUUAAACCGGCGCACGGGUGAGUAACACGUGAGUGACCUGCCUUUUAGACUGGAACAACUUACCGAAAGGUGAGCUAAUGCCGGAUGAGUUAUAUAAGUGCAUGUUUAUAUAGGAAAAGUUGGGGAGACCUGACGCUGAAAGAUGGACUCGCGUCCCAUUAGCUAGUUGGUAGGGUAAUGGCCUACCAAGGCGACGAUGGGUAGCCGGCCUGAGAGGGUGGCCGGCCACACUGGGACUGAGACACGGCCCAGACUCCUACGGGAGGCAGCAGUGGGGAAUUUUGCGCAAUGCUCGUAAGAGUGACGCAGCGACGCCGCGUGAAUGACGAAGGCCUUCGGGUCGUAAAGUUCUUUCGACAGGGAAGAAAAUGCCUAUAAGUAACUGUGUAUGUAUUGACGGUACCUGUAUAAGCAGCCCCGGCUAACUCCGUGCCAGCAGCCGCGGUAAUACGGAGGGGGCGAGCGUUGUUCGGAGUGACUGGGCGUAAAGAGCACGCAGGCGGUGUUGUAAGUCAUUAGUCAAAGACUAGAGCUCAACUUUAGUAAGGCUAGUGAUACUAUAAUACUAGAGUAUCAGAGAGGAUUGCAGAAUUCCUGGUGUAGCGGUGAAAUGCGUAGAUAUCAGGAGGAAUACCGUUAGCGAAGGCGGCAAUCUGGCUGGAAACUGACGCUGAGGUGCGAAAGCGUGGGUAGCAAACAGGAUUAGAUACCCUGGUAGUCCACGCUGUAAACGAUGGAUGCUAGGUGUUGGGCUUUUAAGUUCAGUGCCGCAGCAAACGCGAUAAGCAUCCCGCCUGGGGAGUACGUUUGCAAGAAUGAAACUCAAAGGAAUUGACGGGGGCCCGC